This 914-nucleotide long non-coding RNA is filed under the name Cicer arietinum (chickpea). RNAcentral's name for it is "long non-coding RNA (CARI_LNC003270)". The record is from RNAcentral. Lineage: Eukaryota; Viridiplantae; Streptophyta; Magnoliopsida; Fabales; Fabaceae.
CUUCCACCGUUUUGCAUUUUGCCUCUCUGUUUUUUUCCCAAAUCGCAUGAACCCUAAUCAGCUGCCAUGGUUUCUCAUUUCUUAAUUUAUUUUCUUUUUCAAAUUGCAUGAACCCUAACCUACAUUUGGUGAGUCCUAAGCACACUUUCAGGUAGUUUCUUAAUUUUCUUCUGAAUUUCUACUUAAAUUUUUUAUUUUGUUUUCUAAACAUUUGCUUUGGUUUCAAUGGAUUGCUACUGACUUUAUUUUGAUUUUAUAAUUAUUAUUCAAUAUUUGAAGCCUGGGUCACCUUGGAUCACUUGUUCUAUUUGAUAACCCUAUGAAGCAAUUAGAGCCUAGUAGCACCAUUUCAUGUCUAUACCUCCAUUGAAGUCUAAUGAUAUUAAGGAAAUAAGGAAUUUACACAAUAAAAUCAUCUAAUAAUUCUGUUAAAUCGUUAAACAAGACCUUUUGAGAACAAAAUAAUUCUUUUUAUCUUCUGUUUUUUCAGUCAUGGAUAUGGAUGCAACAAGCAAUGCACCCUGAAUUGAAUUACAAUAGCAGUUUAAGGAAAAAAAUGGGUAAGUAAUCUUUAAUAUUACAAUUGAAUUAUAGUUGUGCAGUUAGCAGUUUAAGAAAAAAAUGGGUAAGCUAUGCACCCUGAAUUGAAUUACAGUUGCAGUCGCAUACCAAUUUUUAAUAUUGUAGAGAAUCGCAGUCAUAUGUGAUCUAUAUAACCUCAACUGCGAUUACAUUACAAUUUCAAUCAUAUUAAAAAAAUAUUAAUUAUGUUGCAGUCCAAAUAAUGGUUGAAGACAGAUAAUACCAAUAAAAAGCAUGUCAAUAAAGAAAUGGUUUAAGGAAAGAAAGAUGAAGAGGAAAGAAGAACAGAGAUUGCACAGAGCAGAGGUGCAUGCAGCAAUGUCAAUUGCAAG